This 24-nucleotide non-coding RNA is filed under the name Cricetulus griseus (Chinese hamster). The record is from RNAcentral. Lineage: Eukaryota; Metazoa; Chordata; Mammalia; Rodentia; Cricetidae.
GGGAUUUCUGAAAAACACUGUUCU